UUUGUAACUUGUGUUGUUCCUAAUUAUGGUAUUAACCAGUCAAUGUUUUAAUUUUUUUCUUAUUCUGGAAGAUGAAUAAGGCCAGAAAUUUAUAAAUAGACUACACCACAUUACGAGUUUCUGCGCUUCUUCAAAAGACAGGAUGCCAGAGAGAAGACGUUUUGGAGAUAGAAUCUGUUAUCAGUCUAAGUGCCCAACCUGAGCACGGUGGCCUUGGAGAAGAAGCGACGUGGCAUCCUGCUACUCCCCUGCACUGAACAACUUCCCUCUCGAAGGAGGCACCUGAGGAAGAAACAGCGGAUCCUCAUUUGUAAGCAAGGGGGGAGGGGA
This 330-nucleotide long non-coding RNA is filed under the name Mustela putorius furo (domestic ferret). RNAcentral describes it as "lncRNA (ENSMPUG00000029260.1)". The record is from RNAcentral. Lineage: Eukaryota; Metazoa; Chordata; Mammalia; Carnivora; Mustelidae.